GACGAACGCUGGCGGCGUGCUUAACACAUGCAAGUCGAACGGAAAGACCCUGCUUUUGUGGGGUGCUCGAGUGGCGAACGGGUGAGUAACACGUGAGUAACCUGCCCUUGACUUUGGGAUAACUUCAGGAAACUGGGGCUAAUACCGGAUAGGAGCUCCUGCUGCAUGGUGGGGGUUGGAAAGUUUCGGCGGUUGGGGAUGGACUCGCGGCUUAUCAGCUUGUUGGUGGGGUAGUGGCUUACCAAGGCUUUGACGGGUAGCCGGCCUGAGAGGGUGACCGGCCACAUUGGGACUGAGAUACGGCCCAGACUCCUACGUGAGGCAGCAGUGGGGAAUAUUGCACAAUGGGCGGAAGCCUGAUGCAGCAACGCCGCGUGCGGGAUGACGGCCUUCGGGUUGUAAACCGCUUUCGCCUGUGACGAAGCGUGAGUGACGGUAAUGGGUAAAGAAGCACCGGCUAACUACGUG
This 468-nucleotide ribosomal RNA is filed under the name uncultured bacterium. RNAcentral's name for it is "partial 16S ribosomal RNA". It matches the Rfam family "Bacterial small subunit ribosomal RNA", at positions 28 to 507 of the family's 1533-position model. The record is from RNAcentral.